This 142-nucleotide ribosomal RNA is filed under the name Stramenopiles sp. RNAcentral's name for it is "partial small subunit ribosomal RNA". It matches the Rfam family "Eukaryotic small subunit ribosomal RNA", at positions 1296 to 1461 of the family's 1831-position model. The record is from RNAcentral.
AGUUGGUGGAGUGAUUUGUCUGGUUAAUUCCGUUAACGAACGAGACCUCAGCCUACUAAAUAGGUGUAAUCUCUUCGGAGGUUAGAGCUUCUUAGAGGGACUAUCAGUGUUUAACUGAUGGAAGUUUGAGGCAAUAACAGGU